GGUAAACAAAAAUGACACUUAAAAAUGGCAUCUUCGAUUCCGAAGAUUUAAAUUGUAUUCAGUUUUUUUGCAUAAAUAUUUGAUCAUCUCUAUUAGAGUAUUAGAGUUCCUUGUCCAAAAAACAAAAAAAAAUUGAAUAACAUAUAAGUGUUGUUGUAAUCUUCCUUUUUCAAACUAGUUUUUCAUAUGUGAAUUAUGUCCACACUAAUAUGGUAUAAGAGUCGAUGUUAAAAAAAAUCGAAAAUGAGUUAUCACCAAUGAAUAUCCAAUCUUACAA
This 277-nucleotide long non-coding RNA is filed under the name Capsella rubella. RNAcentral describes it as "long non-coding RNA (CRUB_LNC001776)". Lineage: Eukaryota; Viridiplantae; Streptophyta; Magnoliopsida; Brassicales; Brassicaceae. The record is from RNAcentral.